AAGUCUACCAGCCUAGAGACAGCACC
Molecule: unclassified non-coding RNA, 26 nt
Filed under: Mus musculus (house mouse)
Lineage: Eukaryota; Metazoa; Chordata; Mammalia; Rodentia; Muridae
Description: oocyte_clustered_small_RNA6668
Source: RNAcentral